This 395-nucleotide unclassified non-coding RNA is filed under the name soil metagenome. RNAcentral's name for it is "partial contains 5.8S ribosomal RNA, internal transcribed spacer 2, and large subunit ribosomal RNA". The stretch from base 1 to 122 matches the Rfam family "5.8S ribosomal RNA", at positions 35 to 154 of the family's 154-position model. The record is from RNAcentral.
GAUGAAGAACGUAGCGAAAUGCGAUACUUGGUGUGAAUUGCAGAAUCCCGUGAACCAUCGAGUCUUUGAACGCAAGUUGCGCCCGAAGCCAUCAGGUUGAGGGCACGUCUGCCUGGGCGUCACAUAUCGUUGCCCAAUGCCUAUUGCAGUGCAAUAGGAAUUUCUAGGGCGAAUGAUGGCUUCCCGUGAGCGUUGUUGCCUCGCGGUUGGUUGUAAAUCGAGUCCUUGGUAGGGUGUGCCAUGGUAGAUGGUGGUCGAGUUAGAACGAUACCGAUCAUGUGCAUGCUCCCCAAAAUAUGGCCUCUAUGACCCACACGCGUCUUUUGACGCUCAUGACGAGACCUCAGGUCAGGCGGGGCUACCCGCUGAAUUUAAGCAUAUCAAUAAGCGGAGGA